AGAAUCAACGCUGGCGGCGUGCCUAACACAUGCAAGUCGAACGAGAAAGUGGAGCAAUCCACAAGUAAAGUGGCGCACGGGUGAGUAACACGUGACUAACCUACCCUUGAGUGGGGGAUAACCUAGGGAAACCUGGGCUAAUACCGCAUAAUACCUACGGGUCAAAGGAGCAAUUCGCUUAAGGAGGGGUCGCGGCCGAUUAGUUAGUUGGCGGGGUAAUGGCCCACCAAGACGAUGAUCGGUAUCC
Molecule: ribosomal RNA, 247 nt
Filed under: uncultured bacterium
Lineage: Bacteria
Description: partial small subunit ribosomal RNA
Rfam family: Bacterial small subunit ribosomal RNA
Source: RNAcentral